GGGAUUGUAGUAUAGUGGUCAGUACUUCUCGUUGUGGCAGGUUGUCAAAUAACCGACACAGCGAUCCGAGAGGACCCAGGUUCGAUUCCUGGCAAUCCCA
Schizothecium vesticola is the source of this 100-nucleotide non-coding RNA. The record is from the annotation of a GenBank genome assembly. Lineage: Eukaryota; Fungi; Ascomycota; Sordariomycetes; Sordariales; Schizotheciaceae.